GACGGAGGGUGCAAGCGUUGUUCGGAUUGACUGGGCGUAAAGGGCGUGUAGGCGGUCGGCCAAGUCUGAUGUGAAAGCCCGAGGCUCAGCCUCGGAAGUGCGUCGGAAACUAGUCGGCUGGAGCGCGAUAGAGGAGGGUGGAAUUCCUGGUGUAGCGGUGAAAUGCGUAGAUAUCAGGAGGAACACCGGCGGCGAAGGCGGCCCUCUGGAUCGUUGCUGACGCUGAUACGCGAAAGCGUGGGGAGCAAACAGG
This 253-nucleotide ribosomal RNA is filed under the name uncultured bacterium. RNAcentral describes it as "partial 16S ribosomal RNA". It matches the Rfam family "Bacterial small subunit ribosomal RNA", at positions 524 to 776 of the family's 1533-position model. The record is from RNAcentral.